Tympanuchus pallidicinctus (lesser prairie-chicken) is the source of this 1266-nucleotide long non-coding RNA. RefSeq lists it as uncharacterized. The transcript is spliced from 2 exons. The record is from RefSeq and is a predicted model, not a curated record. NCBI's taxonomy places the organism in Eukaryota, Metazoa, Chordata, Aves, Galliformes, Phasianidae.
GGAAAUUUCUGGAACCUUCUAUUCUGCGGCGCUACACAGCAAGCGGAGGGCUGAACGCUGCGCAGCUGGUGCACGGGCAGAGCUCCUCGGUCCGGUUCGUCUUUCCCACGUCACCACUUGCACUGUCACACCCCUCUGUCCUGCACCUGGCCUGGUCUGACUCAUCUCUUGACUGAGGGUUGCCUCUCUGCCUCAGCUCUGCAUGCAGAACAGGGAUAUUUCCUGCAGGGGAGACCAGAAAUUGAUGAUCCAAGAAUUUAAUUCUGGCAUUUCAAAAUGAAGAGGGGAAAAAACAAACAAAAAAAACAUGCUCAUUGCAGAAUCCCCAGAAACUGCCCUUAUAUAUAGGCAGUUGUGAGAAAUCAGGUCUGCAGCACUGACUUGCCACGUUCCUGCAGACUACAUUAAAGGUCCUCAGCUAGGGAGGAGGUUCCCUUUCAUGGGGCAGACAGGGAUUUCUUGCCUUUUUUUGCCUUGUCUAGAGGAUAUAAAGCAGCAUGGAGUCCUGAAAGGCUUAGAGAGGUUCCUCUGAAGGAAGCUACAGCACACCGCUGCUGUUGCUAAAAUGCAUCAGAAAAGGAAAAAAGAACAAUAACAUCGUACUUUCUUUGCUAUUACUUCCAAAAACUCUGGAAUACUUUGACAAAGCCAACUCUAACUGAUGGUAUUUGCUUGUCUCUGCACGUGUCCCCAUACACACACAUCCAACACACCCAGCAAACGCUUGAGACAAGCUCUGGUUUUGCAUAUAUGCACGCUAUGCAUAUCACAUGGUCCUGAGCUGCUCUCUUCUCCUUCCUCCUGCACGCUGCCUGCCCCAGCACGCUAUUGGGUUUGGAAAGAAAAGAACACAAUGUCACAGAUGGAUCCUUCCUGUAAGGUGUAUCUGCAGCUUGGCAGCAAGGGCUGACACCUCCCAGCUGCAUGCAGGGAAAGGGAGCUUGGUGAGGCCCAGGGAGAUCUGCAGGAGGGACAGCAUCAUCUUAAUCACACCCAAAAGGAAAUUUGUUUUUAAUCAAACUAUAAAUAAUGAGUGAGCCAUUGGUCUUUAACUGCUGCAUGCUAUUGCUGGAAGUUUUGGCUGCUAUGGGAGGUGCAGAGGGGAAGGGGUCAGAGGCACUCACCAUCUUCCUCUGCCUCACAUCUCCAGCGAUGCUCUCACUUACAGCAGCACAAACAUAAGUGACAUUUCCAGCAACCUUUAAAAACCUUUCUACACCUUUCUUCCUCCUGUUAAGGCAUGUGUUCAAUAUUGAAAAAACAAAA